This 210-nucleotide unclassified non-coding RNA is filed under the name rhizosphere metagenome. RNAcentral's name for it is "partial ribosomal RNA internal transcribed spacer region". The record is from RNAcentral.
GUAGGUGAACCUGCGGAAGGAUCACUAGUGAUUAAAUCGAGCGUGUCUUCAUUGACCGCUCACCCUUCUCACCAUCCACAUACACCUGUGCACUGUUUAGCCUGAGCCGGUUUUCUGGUCCAGGUUAUCAUUUCAUACAAACUCUAGUCUUAUGAAUGUAAACGUUUUAAUAACAUAAUAAAACUUUCAACAACGGAUCUCUUGGUUCUC